UGGCAAAUAUCUUCAACCAAUGUCUGCUUCAAAAGUACCAUGUGAAAACUUCAGUAUGUCAUUUCAAAUGUCUAAGGUGACAUUUCAUUUGCUGUGGUAUCGUUUUGGUGAAUAUGAAGUGGGCAGCAAGGAUGUUCGUCCAAUUUCCGGUACAAAAACGCUGAACAUUCAUAACAAAUUCUGAUAUAAACACAGAAGCAGCAGUUCAGGAAGCAUCCGUGGAGAAUCGAAAAUGAGUUAACGUUUCAGCUCUAUGAUGUUUUGUCAUAACAAAUUCUGAGUGAGAUGGCUUUUGAUCUGCUGCAGAGAUACUUUUGAUGAAAAUUAAGUUGGCUGCAAAGAUGAUUGCCAAUAUCUGGUACAAAAACACUGCUAACAAAUUGUGAGUCUGAGAGGCGUUUGAUCUGCUGCAGUAAAAAUGAAGGAGGUGGCAAGCUUGCUCAUCCAAUUUCUAGUUCAGAAAUACUGUGAAGAAGGAAGUAUCGUGAAAUGACCUGCAAUAUCGAUCGCAGUGCUGUUUUGGGAAAUGCGAAGAAGAAGGAAGUAUCGUGAAAUGACCUGCAAUAUCGAUCGCAGUGCUGUUUUGGGAAAUACGAAGAAGAAAUGUUUUUCUAAUCUCUGAAGGAAUCUAAUGUCUGCAGCUUCUGUUAACUGAAGGAAAACUAAGCGACUGAUUAUUCGUCUAAAAUCUAAAAUCUGAGUGACUAUGAAGAAGAAUGAAAAGAGGAUCUCAGAAAAGACCUAUAUUUCAUCAGCAGCUGAUUAAAUCACAAUGUGACAAAACAUGUUUUAAGCUGGAUUUAUAUAUACCCAUUUAUUGAGAAGUCUGUACUUCCUAGUACAGGAACUACUGUACAUUGCAUUUGUUGUAACACAAUAAACAUUUGUUACAUGACUUUUUAAAAUGAAAGAAAUUUCCUGUUCAGGUUGAUGGGAAUUAAAACUGAAAUUCUUGCAUAUACAGACUGUUCUAUUUUGUACAAUGGUUGAGAUGUAAUGCUACAUCGUCCAGUCAGAAAUGAUGGAUUAUUGAUGAUGGACAAUAUAAAACAAUGGUGUGUGCAGGGCAGAGUAUGCUGAGCUUGCAAAGCAAAAUUGUGGUUGAGAUCAUUGCUCUGGGGGCAGUACAGCAGUCGGGAGGCCUGCUGAGGAAAUUGGGCAUUGCACUGCUAUCAAGUGACUUGCAAGUUACAGUAAACUGAGGGUGACCAGCUAACCUGACCUGUGCCAAUGCCACAAUAAUUGGGUACUCGGUGUCCCCAUCAUCCUGACUUGUUCUGACAUGAAAGACGCUAUACAAGUAUACUUUGUUGUUGUUAUCAUCCCCCGCAGAGGAGCCCGUUUCCUUCCAGAAACUCCUGUCUGACAGCUCGGUUGGGAUUGGUUACAAACAUGUUGAUCAGAAUUCAGCAUUGAUGCAAACUCCACAUAAGUAUUUAUUCCAUUGAAACAUUUUCAAAUUUACUACAGUAGAUCAUAACACAAUGCCACCUAAAUCAUGUACUUGCAUCCUGAAGCA
Molecule: long non-coding RNA, 1519 nt
Organism: Callorhinchus milii (elephant shark)
Lineage: Eukaryota; Metazoa; Chordata; Chondrichthyes; Chimaeriformes; Callorhinchidae
Exons: 7
Source: RefSeq, a predicted model, not a curated record